This 484-nucleotide ribosomal RNA is filed under the name uncultured bacterium. RNAcentral's name for it is "partial 16S ribosomal RNA". It matches the Rfam family "Bacterial small subunit ribosomal RNA", at positions 30 to 507 of the family's 1533-position model. The record is from RNAcentral.
UUGAACGCUGGCGGCAGGCUUAACACAUGCAAGUCGAGCGGGGGAAGGUAGCUUGCUACCGGACCUAGCGGCGGACGGGUGAGUAAUGCUUAGGAAUCUGCCUAUUAGUGGGGGACAACAUCUCGAAAGGGAUGCUAAUACCGCAUACGUCCUACGGGAGAAAGCAGGGGAUCUUCGGACCUUGCGCUAAUAGAUGAGCCUAAGUCGGAUUAGCUAGUUGGUGGGGUAAAGGCCUACCAAGGCGACGAUCUGUAGCGGGUCUGAGAGGAUGAUCCGCCACACUGGGACUGAGACACGGCCCAGACUCCUACGGGAGGCAGCAGUGGGGAAUAUUGGACAAUGGGGGGAACCCUGAUCCAGCCAUGCCGCGUGUAUGAAGAAGGCCUUAUGGUUGUAAAGCACUUUAAGCGAGGAGGAGGCUACUUUAGUUAAUACCUAGAGAUAGUGGACGUUACUCGCAGAAUAAGCACCGGCUAACUCUGUG